Long non-coding RNA from Alosa alosa (allis shad), 2276 nucleotides. RefSeq lists it as uncharacterized. NCBI's taxonomy places the organism in Eukaryota, Metazoa, Chordata, Actinopteri, Clupeiformes, Clupeidae. The record is from RefSeq and is a predicted model, not a curated record. The transcript is spliced from 3 exons.
AGAGCCUCAUCCUCCACGGGACUGACCACCUCGGCCACUGCAUCUGCCGAGAGAGGGAAACAUGUCAAUCAAUCAGUGAUGGUUACUCUGAAAUGACUGUACUGUGGUUAAAAAAUGAGAAGCUUUGAUGGGCUAGAGUUCUAAGAACGUGCCAAGUCACAGAGGAUUCCAGAACACUCCAGCUCUCAACACACAGAGCUUCUACACAACAUCUCGAGGAUAUCGCAUUCCAGAAUUGGCUCAAAUCGAGACUUUCCAACCCUGAGUUGCCUGAGAGUGUGUAGGCCAAAAACGAACAUAGCACUCUCAGACAGCCAUACUCAAAUUACAGCUCCUUGAAUGGAAAUGCUUAAGCAUAGACUAUUUGAGGGGUAACCUUGUAUACUGUGGAGGCAUCACCGGACUUCUUAAAAAGAAUGAGGCCAAAUGGUCAACACAGGAUGGCAGGUGAUCUUCAGCAACUCAUUCCAAGGGUUUUGCAACCCAUUCAACACUUAACAUUCACCCGGAACAAAAUGGAACAUUGUAACCUCUCAGAUGUACUCAAUGUACUCAAUCGCCUUGAGACGUUCACAUGUUAUGUUGCAAUAGAAAUAAAAUUGAAUUGAAUGGAAUUGCAUAUGAUUAGCUGCUAGUCAGUCGUGACCCGCUGAAAUGGAAAACCAACAGUGUAAACCUAUAAUGUUCCCUGCACACAAAUGAACACAUGUUGAAGAACAUUUCAAUUAACUAAUCACUGGGACAUAUUAUUCUUGGCUUGUUAAGAGUUGCCAUGGCCUCCCCUAAGAGGACCCCCUGUUACACAACAUCCAUAUAGACUGCAUUACAAAGGGUAAAUGUACAGAGGGGGCAAUAUAUUUAGUAGAGGGGGCAAUAUAUUUAUUUCUCUCUCUCUCUCUCUCUCUCUCUCUCUCUCUCUCUCUCUCUCUCUCUCUCUCUCUCUCUCUCUCUCUCUGCCUCUUCAUUUAAUCUGGGGGGAAGCACAAAGAGACGAGAGGCUUUAAGUGGUUCUUGGUUGCAGAGGUUGGGUUUCAGUGCGACUCCACGGAUCAGAUAAUACUCCGGGACAGCUGCCUAAUUCUCACCUUCAGGAAAACGGGGGUGAGGAACCUUUAACGCUGGGGCGACUGGCCACUGUCAACACUGCAGGGUGCACUUGUGGACCAAGCCUCGAUGAAUAGGGCUAGAAUGAGUCAGUGCUGCUAUGAGUCAUCAUACAGACGUGGGCAUGCACACACACACACACACACACACACACACACACACACACACACAAACAUAAAAUAUUAUGUGCACUGUAGGAAUAUAAUGUAAUCCAGUAGGCUACUUGCAUAAAUCUAUAGCGGGCACAAGUUAUUCAAAAUACAGUAGAAUACAAACAGAUGUGUGCACUGUAGGUACACACACACACACACACACACACACACACACACACAAAGACACACAUACACAUAUACCAUUAUAUGCACAUUACAUAUAUGCACAUGAAAACAGGGAAAUGGAAUUCAUAUAGUGGGUGCACACACACACACACACACACACACACACACACAAUGUCAUAAAUAAUCCCCUAAAACAACAUGACAAUGGAACCAAACAACUUAAAUAGUAAACUAAUGAUUAUGGCCGCACAGAUGCCAGAAGUUAUGACAUGCCGGAAAACAGCACGCUGACAGCGAGCUGGUCAUUGUUAAAUAUGGACUUCAAAAGUCACCGCAAAGUCCCGGUGCUAAGGCUAGCAUCAGUCAUGUCUGACUUUACACACAGAUCAGAGCAGAUGGGUGGGAUAAGAGCUUAGGCCACAUUAGAUUAACUUAAGGUGCUUGGCACUCCUCUCCUUGCCUGUUCUUGCCUAUUUUAGGCUGUGAUUCACCCUCAAAGCACUCAGGCUGCGUGUUGUAGUCCUUCAUCAUACAACAUCGCCUGUAGGCAAAUGGGUGUUUAUCACCUCUGAUGGUUACUACUACUGAAUGGAAAAUUGUUUUGGUGAAUGGCCAUAUAAUAUGACCAGUAAGUGGCAUUGUUGCAUCCAAUAUAUAAGUGUGCAUGAUAAAAGUUGGUCAGAUAAAGGUCAAUGAUGAAAUGUUCUGUCACAUGAUUAUGUCUGUAAGUAAUACAAAAUGUACCUUUUGCAGCUGCUGCAUACUAGCAAUAGCAUUUUGUAUGUUUGUUUGUUUGUGUGUGUUUGUGUGUGUGUGUGUGAAUAUGAAACCAAUUAUUCAUAAACAUGUAUUUGCAUGUAAAUUACUUAUAUAUAUUUCAUGUAGUGGAAAUGA